AGUGAACGCUGGCGGUAGGCCUAACACAUGCAAGUCGAACGGCAGCACAGUAAGAGCUUGCUCUUACGGGUGGCGAGUGGCGGACGGGUGAGGAAUACAUCGGAAUCUACUUUUUCGUGGGGGAUAACGUAGGGAAACUUACGCUAAUACCGCAUACGACCUACGGGUGAAAGCAGGGGAUCUUCGGACCUUGCGCGAUUGAAUGAGCCGAUGUCGGAUUAGCUAGUUGGCGGGGUAAAGGCACACCAAGGCGACGAUCCGUAGCUGGUCUGAGAGGAUGAUCAGCCACACUGGAACUGAGACACGGUCCAGACCCCUACGGGAGGCAGCAGUGGGGAAUAUUGGACAAUGGGCGCAAGCCUGACCCAGCCAUACCGCGUGGGUGAAGAAGGCCUUCGGGUUGUAAAGCCCUUUUGUUGGGAAAGAAAAGCAGCAGGUUAAUACCUCGCUGUUCUGACGGUACCCAAAGAAUAAGCACCGGCUAACUUCGUG
This 492-nucleotide ribosomal RNA is filed under the name uncultured bacterium. RNAcentral describes it as "partial 16S ribosomal RNA". It matches the Rfam family "Bacterial small subunit ribosomal RNA", at positions 29 to 507 of the family's 1533-position model. The record is from RNAcentral.